GAGAAGAAAAAGGCAAAGAAAUAAAAAUUUAUUUUAAAGUUUGAAAUUAAAUAUUCUAGGCUUACAAAGUCCUUUUACAAAGUUAUUUUGCAUCAAGAGCACAUGGUGCUCCAAACACUUUCAACAUUACAGAUAUAUGGUAACAAAGUUUGUUCAUAUGGUAACAAAGUAACAAAGAGAGUAUAACAUCGAACAUUUCCUGAGGAAGGGACAUACGUAAAAUUCUGAGUUGCAACUUAUAACUGUCCUGUUCUAUACACCUUGAAUAUGGCUCUAAGGUUGAGGUUAGACCUUUAGAUACAAGGGUAAGUGGUUUGGGUCACUGAUACACAAAACUAUCACUUGAAGCGAAGACAGUCACAAGCUCUCUGUAUUACCAAGCAUAGGAGUCACAAGGUGUGGUCAUAUCAAGAGGAAGAACCUGGCACUGCUUGAUAAGCACAGUUUCUCAAUGUCUUUAAAUCUACCUUUGAACAAUUUUAAGGGGUACAGAACUUGAAAAUGGCUUUGAAAAAGGAAACAAUUUCUCAACAUACUACUACUUAAAGCUUUUUCGUCUGACACUCCUCAGAGCAUGAAAUGUUAGAAUAAGGGGCCGAAAGAACACAAUGGAAAAUAUAUACCCAGUUGUGGAUCGAAAUAUGCCAAUCAGAAAAUGUCUAUAUGGCAUCAGGCACUAUAUUACAGACAGAUGAACAUUAAAUUUCAUUGAAUUGUCAUAUCUUACUAACUUGCAUUUAGCAAGGUGUGCUAAAUCCGGCAACGAUGAGCAGCUGGUAACUGUGAAACCCCCGUUUCUAAUGGCUAAUACAGGAAUUUUCCUGGGGGACCAGAAGACCAAGCUACUUAUGAAAUACUUAUGAAAUUGGUCAUAUCUAAAAUAUGUUGUUCCAAUAUGUGUAAAAAUAUUGUAUGCAAACAAAAAUACAUUCACAUAUACACUACUGUAAAAGUGACUUAUAUAAAAAAAAUUGCAUUAAAUACUAGAAAUUAUCAAAUGCAAAGUGAAAGCAAAGAUCAAGAUUUUUAUCAACAAUAUUAAAGCUUACAAAGUAUUAAAUCUAAUAAUCAGAGCAAUAGUAAAAUUUAUUAAUCUUUAUUAAGAUUUAUUGUUAGAAUUAUGAAAUAGAAAUGGCUGAAAAUUAUUUAGAUGGCAACAUACUGAAAAAAUUUGGUUUAAAAUAGGUUGUAAACUUAAAGAUAUGACUCCAUCCAGGAUAUGAAAAUUCUUUACACAACCAAUAGCUCUUUCAACAUGAAUGCGUACUGUUGCAAUUCGGACUGUUUCUUCUGUUUCUUCUGCUGUUAGCUGGCUUCUAGUGCCUUUGAAAGGAGGGAUAUUAAGAGAUACACCAGGAGGAAGAAUAUUAGGUGUCAAAUCCUCUAUCGGCCAUGAUAUUGUCUCCAUCCUCUAAAAGUUGCAAAACACCACACUUCUGAGUAAUUUCUUAGAUCUGACACUCUGCCAGACCAAAGCUUUGAAAUGAAAGUAAUACAGCCUGUUGGUGAGAUUCCAACAAGGGCUUUCCAGGUGUUAUGAUGUUUGUACUGGGACCAAGUUUGAGACUGAGACUUAAGUAAAAAUUUCGGUACAGUCAAUAAUGUUUCUCGUAGUAGAAUAUUCUUUGAAUUGCUGUGGCAUAUCUUUCCGUAUUUUUUCUUGAGAUGGAAUCGGAAACAAAAGAGGAAGUUCAUGAAAUAAAAAGUUAAUCCAACUUGUAAAAAUAUUUGAAGCAUGUCCAGUAGAGAUUCCAAAUCUGUCUGGUAAAUCAUUCAUAAGUAAACCAACUUUAAGUCUCAUUAAAAGAAAAAUAAAUUCUUCUAAUUGUGAAAGGCUGCGUUUUGGACCAGGUUUCUGAGAUUGAGAGGACUUUUGAUAGAAAAGAUCUGAAACCUUAGAAGAUGUAGGCCCACACCAUUAAUGAAUACCUAUCAAGCCUUGGCUGGAAAUACUUAAACAAGGCAUGAAGAGAAGAAAAUUUUUUCCAGUUUAUCAAUUGAGAAGAGAGAGUUUUUCAGCUGAGAAAUUUGUUGUUCCAAGUCACCAAUUUGUUUGCAUAGUUCGUCAACUUGCAAAGAGAGUUCCUUGGUCUUUGUUGAAUGAUGGUCAUGCUGGUUACAAAUAUUAAAUAUUCGAUUACAUUAGAACCAAAGGGAGAAACAUCAUCAUCGCAGAUUGCAGUCGCUGAUGCAGAGAAAGAAAACGUAUGUUCAGCUGGCGCUUUGCGGGAUACUCUUGGCAACAAAACAACGUUACUGAACAGAUUCAAAGAAGGGACAGCUCCACUCUUCAGACGCCACUGAUUUUGAUGAUGCCCGCAUCAGUAAAAUGCUCUUCACAAAGGAAUGCAGACAGUGUAACAUUAAAACCAUCACAUCCAUCUGCACGUUUUAUGAGGUUACACCAACGAAGCUUGUCAGGGUUCUUUUGUGAGAAUCUGAAGAAAUGUAGGCCAGAUGGCCAUCCAUCAGUUUUUUAAAAGGUGUUAUAACCCCCAUAAGCCUUGCAUUGCCUACCAAAUCUUUUCUUCGUCUUUGAAACACCUUCUACCAUUUCAACGUCUUCAUUCUUCAUUUCCAAAAACUUGUCUUGGUUAAAAGGCAAAAGAAUUGUAGAAAUUUUAUGUGGAAGCAGCGUACAAGAUUUAUGCCAAACAACAACUGUCUUCAUUUCAUUAAACACCCUCAUUGUCAAACGGCCAAAAAAGGGAUUGUGAAAAGGGUCUAUUGGCCGGUGAAGCAGUUUCAGUCAAGAUUUUUUCAAAACAGAGUCCUAGAAAGAACUUGACCCCCGUAGUUGUCAUCUGAACGAGCGAGCCCUAUAUUCUUGCUAAAGGCUUCCAGGUUACUCGGCUCGAUAGCUGCACCAAACUAGGUACAAACAAAAAAACGAAACUUAAACAGCUAAACUUAUAUUUUGUAUGAAUUUAAAGGUAUAAUCGGUCAUAGAAAAGGCAAAAUUUAUGCAAAAAUCUACACAGGUCCGUGCUGCUCUGAAAAUCCUACAUGUCUGACCUGGGGGUGAAGGCCCCGCACGUUUCUCUCACAACCUAGGUGUAUUUCUUGGGAAAGAGAAUUUUUGAAAAAGCAAAUAAGGUAAUGUCAUAUGAGGAUUUGUUUUUAGAUGGCUGCUUAGAUUUUCAGCUUAAUAGCUUUUGCUGAAACUUUAGCUUUGUAUUUUCCAUAGUUGUUUUGUUAUUGAUACAUAGUUGAAAAAUUGUAAUUGUAAAAUUGCAAUUCGCUGUAGUACUGCAAGCAGUUAAGGGCCAUCUCAGCCUAGAUACUUGAAUUACAAAAAAAGGUUUUAUAAAAAAGUCAUCAAUCUAGGCUCAUCAUAAACAACGCAGCAUUUUAGUUACACAUGUUCUUUUUCAUGACACUGGUUUGAAUUUUGUUGAAUCAUUUUGUUUUGAUGUAAAUAAUUUGGAGAAAUGACUAUAUUUUGUUAUUGCUAGCGGUGAGCUACACAAAUGUCUUUCAUGUACGGCUGUUACAACAUGGUAGCUUACUGAAUGUAUUGCUGAAGGUCUGGCCAAGAAGCCGCUGUGUCUUGAAAUAACUUCUAUCUAUCAUCGCAACGAUAAUGCACUGAAAAGGCUUUGGCAGCACUUUAGAACUUAAUUUUGAGGGACAAUCCCUAUAAUGGGCGCCCUAUACUGGGGCGCCCUAUAUUGGGGGAAGCGUUACCAAUAUGGUUGGAAAAACUAAUGGGUGCAUACAAAUGACCACCUUAGAAAGGAACUAAUUCUUUACUUUUUUCAAUUCAGCAAGCAUGAUUUUAGAAACUGCCGUUAGUUCUUUGUCCUUUCAGCUAAGACAAUGAACCUUGGUAGGAUGAUACUCUUAUCUAUUCUCGACAUUUUAAUGCUAUUCUUUUAUUUUUAAGUCACGUGGUUCAACGGUGAUGUCAUUAUAACAUUGGCCUACUGGAGAAAAAAUUUAGAAAAUUUUAGAAAAUCUUAAAAAGUUCAUUUAAGUCAUUCAAGUCUUAAAAAGUUCAUUUAAGGCUUAAAAAGCCUUCAACAUCAUUUGUAUAUGACUAUCAUAUACAACUAAAUGAAGUAUGUAACAAUUUUUUAAUGAUAAAAUAGGUUCAUUUUAAAUACCUUAGCAGACAAACUAAUCUAAACUGUCUUGGCUCAUGCCAUCAGCUUGCACUUCAUUUCAAUUAACGCCUAGAAAUGUGUCAACAAAUGUGUGUGCACAAACUUUGUUUUCCAGGGAAAUGUCAAGGGCCAAAAACAAGGUUCUACAUGGGAUGUGAACUGCUCAUAGAUCUUUACAACGAUAAUCUUUUCAAAAAUCAUUUGAGAUACUUCAUUCAAGUUAAUGGACAAUGUCCUCUGUGAUGAAAAAAUUGCAGCAGAAUUGAAUGGAAAAACCAAUUUUUUGAUUUACACUAAAUAACAUUAAAAUCAAAGAUUUUUGACUUGCCAAACUGCUUCCUCGACCCUUACAAGCUGGAAGUGAAUGCUGCUGCAAAGCUUCUUUGUCUCCACCAUUACAGGCUCUUGAACAACCAACUCAAAAGACUCAGACUGGGAGCCUGGUUUUUAGGCAAGUUACUGAAAAACGGAACAGACGGAAGGGCAAAGUAAGGACGAAGAAGAACAAAGUACUAUGCAUGACAAAAGAAAGGCAAUUCUGUUGAGAAAAGUUGUAGUAAUGGCAAGGUCACAGUGUUCUCUGACUCGCAGCUACGCCCACUUGUUCAGGUGGACGUUCCUGUUCCUACAAACUGGUACGUUAAUUCAACGCCAGGUGGUUGCUUCAGCCAUGUAAAAGAAGAAAUUCUGGCCGCCAGAAUUCCCCAAAGCAAGACCCCUUUGUAAGUCAUUCUUCUUAUUGCUUCAAAUGAUCUCUCCAAGCAUGUGGUUAUGGAUAGGGCUAGAGGUGACUUUCAUGGGCUUCUUCUCGCAGUUAAGAAAAAAUUCUGGCUUUCAAAGGGAGCUAAUAAUUUUAUCAAUUACAUCUCUAUCAAUUUAUGAGACAUUCGAAUAUUUGUUACCAGAUCUUCGAUUCUUCCUUUUCAUAAAUAUUAAGAAAGAAAGUUCAAAAAGCGCUUCCUUUUGUUGUUAAUUUUUAUACUUUUUGGGAUUUGUAUAUUCUUAUAUUUCAUACCCGUUAGAUUUCCACUACAGUAGAUUACACCAAAUUACAUUACAUGCCAGUUUGGUUAAACAAUUUGGACUCAUAAUGCCACACAGGUCUGAAAAAAAUUGGCAAAAAAUUCCUCAAACGUGAUCAAAACUGUACCCAUAAUUCCACACAGCAAAUAACAUUGUCCCCCCUCCCCCCUGAGGUUUAAAUAGCAUUUUAAUUUUUUUUUAUAAAGGUUGUUGCACUAUCAAUGUUGCUGCGUCUAGACAAAUUUUGGAUUUGCGAGGCAAAACACAAAGAAGUAAUGGACCAAGAGUGCCAGAAACUUAGGGUUCGCUUCUUUGACGUGACACUGAACUUUUAAGUCAGGGAUCCACAUCUUUGGUCGUGGAAAGGCGGACUUCACAUAAGUGAAGACAAAGGCAUCCCACUUUUGCUGUGUCUUUUGAAGAAAGAAAUAAAUUCACUUAAAGCUGCUGUGGUCCAGGAUUCAUCGCCAUCACCUCCACCACAACCUGCUCCAGAGCCCCAAUACCCAGCGUGGCUAUGGAGAGAACUCCGGCACCAUCACUCCGAAGGUCACCCAGCACCACCAACAGCAAUCAGAUCGCAAUUUUCCAAGGAUAUAAACAUUUACAUAUAGCCACAAAGAAUUGUAACACCCCUUAUACCGGCAGAUAGCCUUAUUUAUUUAGCCACAACUAUCCACCAUACUCAAACAAAACCUUGACAUACUACAAAACUCUAACGCAUGUAAAGAAGCCUUUCCCGACACACCCAUACUUAGUUACCGCAGACCGAAAAACCUCCGGGAUUUACUGGUUCGUGCUAAAAUUAAAAAUGCCCCAUCCAGUGAUCCCAUAGGUUCGUACAAAUGCCGAUCGCGACGUAACUGUUUAACAUGCCAACAUAUCACAGACGGGACUACAACAUUUAAUUUUUCUAACACUGACAAAAACUACGACAUGAAACAAAGACUGGACUGCAACUCCACCAACGUCAUAUACGCAUUACAAUGCAAACGCUGUCUACAUAACGGAAACAAAAACUGCCAAUACAUCUGACAAACUAGCAGAAGACUUAAACGAACACAGACGAGACAAUAUCAACAAAAAAGAAGACAAGUCUGGUGUUGCAGAACAUUUCUGCAGCCCAGCACACACCAUCCACGACCUUGCCAUCACACCACUACUUAGACUUAAUGACAAACGAGAGAGUGUUCGUCGAGCUAAGGAGCAAUAUCUCAUUAGCAUGGCGAACACCCUCACCCCCAACAGCAUGAACAGAACUACCGACUGUUAACUUUACAAAACAACUUAUCACCUAUCAUGCCGCCCUCACAACCCACACCAUAUUUUCCCUACCCAUUGUAAUCAUCAAAACCACUAUCACUACCAUCAACAUUCCA
Rhopilema esculentum is the source of this 6508-nucleotide non-coding RNA. The record is from RefSeq and is a predicted model, not a curated record. NCBI's taxonomy places the organism in Eukaryota, Metazoa, Cnidaria, Scyphozoa, Rhizostomeae, Rhizostomatidae.